Molecule: long non-coding RNA, 1009 nt
Filed under: Zonotrichia albicollis (white-throated sparrow)
Lineage: Eukaryota; Metazoa; Chordata; Aves; Passeriformes; Passerellidae
Description: lncRNA (ENSZALG00000011370.1)
Source: RNAcentral
GUUUUUUUUCCCCCCUUUUUAUUUUUUUUUAAUGGGAAAUAUGUUUGUGCUCUCAUUUUAUUACCCAAUCCCUGAUUCUACAACAAAUUCACAGGCAGAGGCGACUAACACUAUGGAUACUGGAUGUCAGAUUCGUCUAUCUCUCUGGUGACGUUAAAGGGAAAUAACCAGGAAGAAAGGGAAGAGUGGGCAAUAUGGCUCCAUCCAGGUUUAAUUUUCCAUAAAGCUACAGGUCUCCCAGGUGCACAAAAGGAUUAAUAUUUUUGGAGGCAGAGCAGAAAAUGAAGAUUGAAGUGUCGUGGUGUGCUUGUUUCGGCAUGUCUGGAAGGAAUACCAUUGUCAAGAAGUCUCAAAUUUUCCUUUUCUCAAUGGGAAAAUUUUUCUGAGCCUUCAGCUGGUCCUUGCCCAUUCUGGAAGAGUGCUUGGAGGAUCUCUUUCUUCAUGAUUUACAGUCUAAUCAGAACCCUUAAAAAUUAUUUUUGUGGUGACAAGGAGUGCAAGGACUCCUCUUCAGGCCAAGUCCAUGAAGCACAUAAGGAGGUGCAUGACUCUCACUGCUUAAACCCAGCUGUGUUCUUCAACACCUUGCUGAAUUAGAUCCUUAAUCAUCAUCACCAUCAGUAGCUACUGCUUGCAUGUUAUCCCUGCAAAAUGUGAGUUUUUAAAUAUGCAGCGCUGGGACUUUGUGCUGGUCAGCAAAGCAACCAUGCUGGAUGAUGUUCCCUGCUCUCUGCAUACACAUGGUUUAAAAUUAUUGCAGCAGCUCCAGUACUUAAUUCUUUUGCCAGUGAGCACCUGCACUGUACAUGUGGGAUUCUAAUCUUCACAUGCGAGAUGGCCUUGAAUAAUUUCUGUGGGUUUUAUAGGUAAAUCUGUGGUGAUCAAACUACUGUAAAGAGAGACCUGUACGAACCCAUAAUUUCCCCCCUUGUUUCAAACAUAUAAUCUAAGGUUUCCCUUGUGGGUGGCCCUUCUUUCUUUUGUGCCAUGGUAAUUUCUUCAUAGGUGG